AGCUUUGCGCAGUGGCAGUAUCAUAGCCGAUGAGGUUUAACCGAGGCGUGAUUAUUGCUGAUUGAAAAGCUACUCGUUUUUUUUGUUGUUGUUUUCUGACUCCGUACUAGUUGAGGAAACUCUACUGGUGCUUGGGUUAGAGAG
Bufo gargarizans (Asiatic toad) is the source of this 144-nucleotide small nuclear RNA. RefSeq annotates it as U4 spliceosomal RNA. The transcript has a single exon. NCBI's taxonomy places the organism in Eukaryota, Metazoa, Chordata, Amphibia, Anura, Bufonidae. The record is from RefSeq and is a predicted model, not a curated record.